This 444-nucleotide unclassified non-coding RNA is filed under the name Hevea brasiliensis (rubber tree). The record is from RNAcentral. Lineage: Eukaryota; Viridiplantae; Streptophyta; Magnoliopsida; Malpighiales; Euphorbiaceae.
UGUUUGAGGUUUUAAUGUUCCCAAUUUUGUUAGAUGAUUCUUAUUUGGCAAGUGAAUUUGAAACAUUCAUUGACACAAUCGAUAAAACUCAUGAACUAACCUUGGGUGGACACCAACAGUAUCCGGGAGUUUAUGCGUUACUUUUCCAUAAAGGUCGAAGAGCUCGUUCUAUUGGUUUGCGACUGGCUGGACGCAUGAGUAAAUUGAGGCAAUCAGCAGAGUUGGAUGCUUUGCAGCAUUUGCUAAAGAAGUACAUUUCUUAUUUGGCAGCAGAUUUUUCACCAUUAUCUACGCCGAAUCUAAGGCCUAGGGUUGAGUUGGAUCGAGUUACUGUAUGGCUUGGGAUCAAAGCAUUGCUUGGAUUCUUGGAGCCUCCUGCUUUUGAAGAAGGCAUUUUAGAUCGCUAUCCCAUUUUUCUGAGUGUUGUUCUCAACCAUAUCAGUG